GACGAACGCUGGCGGCGUGCUUAACACAUGCAAGUCGAACGGAAAGGCCCUGCUUUUGUGGGGUGCUCGAGUGGCGAACGGGUGAGUAACACGUGAGUAACCUGCCCUUGACUUUGGGAUAACUUCAGGAAACUGGGGCUAAUACCGGAUAGGAGCUCCUGCUGCAUGGUGGGGGUUGGAAAGUUUCGGCGGGUGGGGAUGGACUCGCGGCUUAUCAGCUUGUUGGUGGGGUAGUGGCUUACCAAGGCUUUGACGGGUAGCCGGCCUGAGAGGGUGACCGGCAACAUUGGGACUGAGAUACGGCCCAGACUCCUACGGGAGGCAGCAGUGGGGAAUAUGGCACAAUGGGCGGAAGCCUGAUGCAGCAACGCCGCGUGCGGGAUGACGGCCUUCGGGUUGUAAACCGCUUUCGCCUGUGACGAAGCGUGAGUGACGGUAAUGGGUAAAGAAGCACCGGCUAACUACGUG
RNAcentral lists this ribosomal RNA (468 nucleotides) under uncultured bacterium. Its description in RNAcentral is "partial 16S ribosomal RNA". It matches the Rfam family "Bacterial small subunit ribosomal RNA", at positions 28 to 507 of the family's 1533-position model. The record is from RNAcentral.